This 1371-nucleotide ribosomal RNA is filed under the name uncultured bacterium. Its description in RNAcentral is "bacterial SSU rRNA". It matches the Rfam family "Bacterial small subunit ribosomal RNA", at positions 28 to 1381 of the family's 1533-position model. The record is from RNAcentral.
GAUGAACGCUGGCGGCGUGCCUAAUACAUGCAAGUCGAGCGAACGGACGAGAAGCUUGCUUCUCUGAUGUUAGCGGCGGACGGGUGAGUAACACGUGGAUAACCUACCUAUAAGACUGGGAUAACUUCGGGAAACCGUAGCUAAUACCGGAUAAUAUUUUGAACCGCAUGGUUCAAAAGUGAAAGACGGUCUUGCUGUCACUUAUAGAUGGAUCCGCGCUGCAUUAGCUAGUUGGUAAGGUAACGGCUUACCAAGGCAACGAUGCAUAGCCGACCUGAGAGGGUGAUCGGCCACACUGGAACUGAGACACGGUCCAGACUCCUACGGGAGGCAGCAGUAGGGAAUCUUCCGCAAUGGGCGAAAGCCUGACGGAGCAACGCCGCGUGAGUGAUGAAAGUCUUCGGAUCGUAAAACUCUGUUAUUAGGGAAGAACAUAUGUGUAAGUAACUGUGCACAUCUUGACGGUACCUAAUCAGAAAGCCACGGCUAACUACGUGCCAGCAGCCGCGGUAAUACGUAGGUGGCAAGCGUUAUCCGGAAAUUAUUGGCGUAAAGCGCGCGUAGGCGGUUUUUUAGUCUGAUGUGAAAGCCCACGGCUCAACCGUGGGGGGUCAUUGGAAACUGGAAAACUUGAGUGCAGAAGAGGAAAGUGGAAUUCCAUGUGUAGCGGUGAAAUGCGCAGAGAUAUGGAGGAACACCAGUGGCGAAGGCGACUUUCUGGUCUGUAACUGACGCUGAUGUGCGAAAGCGUGGGGAUCAAACAGGAUUAGAUACCCUGGUAGUCCACGCCGUAAACGAUGAGUGCUAAGUGUUAGGGGGUUUCCGCCCCUUAGUGCUGCAGCUAACGCAUUAAGCACUCCGCCUGGGGAGUACGACCGCAAGGUUGAAACUCAAAGGAAUUGACGGGGACCCGCACAAGCGGUGGAGCAUGUGGUUUAAUUCGAAGCAACGCGAAGAACCUUACCAAAUCUUGACAUCCUUUGACAACUCUAGAGAUAGAGCCUUCCCCUUCGGGGGACAAAGUGACAGGUGGUGCAUGGUUGUCGUCAGCUCGUGUCGUGAGAUGUUGGGUUAAGUCCCGCAACGAGCGCAACCCUUAAGCUUAGUUGCCAUCAUUAAGUUGGGCACUCUAAGUUGACUGCCGGUGACAAACCGGAGGAAGGUGGGGAUGACGUCAAAUCAUCAUGCCCCUUAUGAUUUGGGCUACACACGUGCUACAAUGGACAAUACAAAGGGCAGCGAAACCGCGAGGUCAAGCAAAUCCCAUAAAGUUGUUCUCAGUUCGGAUUGUAGUCUGCAACUCGACUACAUGAAGCUGGAAUCGCUAGUAAUCGUAGAUCAGCAUGCUACGGUGAAUACGUUCCCGGGUCU